GGGUCAGUAGGUUGGUCGUGCCACCGGUACGUACUGGUCUCACUGAUUCCUCCUUCCUGAAGAACCGUAAUGCCAUUAAUUUGGUGUUGCGGGGAAACAGGACUGUUACUUUGAAAAAAUUAGUGUGUUUAAAGCAAGCUAACGCUUGAAUACAUUAGCAUGGGAUAAUGAAAUAGGACGAUCGAUCCUAUUUUGUUGGUUUCUAGGAUUGACGUA
Molecule: ribosomal RNA, 216 nt
Filed under: Glomeromycotina sp.
Lineage: Eukaryota; Fungi; Glomeromycota
Description: partial small subunit ribosomal RNA
Rfam family: Eukaryotic small subunit ribosomal RNA (bases 40-216)
Source: RNAcentral